This 425-nucleotide ribosomal RNA is filed under the name uncultured bacterium. RNAcentral describes it as "bacterial SSU rRNA". It matches the Rfam family "Bacterial small subunit ribosomal RNA", at positions 356 to 773 of the family's 1533-position model. The record is from RNAcentral.
GGGGAAUUUUGGACAAUGGGGGCAACCCUGAUCCAGCCAUGCCGCGUGUGUGAAGAAGGCCUUCGGGUUGUAAAGCACUUUCGGACGGAACGAAAUCGCGCGGGUGAAUAUCCCGCGUGGAUGACGGUACUGUAAGAAGAAGCACCGGCUAACUACGUGCCAGCAGCCGCGGUAAUACGUAGGGUGCGAGCGUUAAUCGGAAUUACUGGGCGUAAAGCGUGCGCAGGCGGCUUCGCAAGUCAGACGUGAAAUCCCCGGGCUUAACCUGGGAAUGGCGUUUGAAACUACGGAGCUGGAGUGUGGCAGAGGGAGGUAGAAUUCCACGUGUAGCGGUGAAAUGCGUAGAUAUGUGGAGGAAUACCGAUGGCGAAGGCAGCCUCCUGGGCCAACACUGACGCUCAUGCACGAAAGCGUGGGGAGCAAAC